This 397-nucleotide ribosomal RNA is filed under the name uncultured bacterium. Its description in RNAcentral is "partial 16S ribosomal RNA". It matches the Rfam family "Bacterial small subunit ribosomal RNA", at positions 523 to 918 of the family's 1533-position model. The record is from RNAcentral.
AUACGUAGGGGGCGAGCGUUGUCCGGAAUGAUUGGGCGUAAAGGGCGCGUAGGCGGCCCGGUAAGUCUGGAGUGAAAGUCCUGCUUUUAAGGUGGGAAUUGCUUUGGAUACUGUCGGGCUUGAGUGCAGGAGAGGUAAGUGGAAUUCCCAGUGUAGCGGGGAAAUGCGUAGAGAUUGGGAGGAACACCAGUGGCGAAGGCGACUUACUGGACUGUAACUGACGCUGAGGCGCGAAAGUGUGGGGAGCAAACAGGAUUAGAUGCCCUGGUAGUCCACACUGUAAACGAUGAAUGCUAGGUGUAGGGGGUAUCGACCCCUUCUGUGCCGCAGUUAACACAAUAAGCAUUCCGCCUGGGGAGUACGGCCGCAAGGUUGAAACUCAAAUGAAUUGACGGGG